CCUGGAACCCUGGGUUGCUGUUCCAGGCUUUGAUCAGUGGCACCGGUGUUGGUGACCCUGGGAAAGAUAAUGCGUCCUCAGGCUGAGGUUUUGAGGCCUAAGAGUUUUCAGUUGCUUUAAUGCUGCCAAAAUCGUGAACAGAUUAGCAAUGGUUAAGCAAGCAUGAAACGCCGACUGACACACCUGAAGAAGGCUUAACAAAUGCAAAACAAUGUUUUUUUUUCCCUUUCUGCUCUUUAACAUGGAAAUAACUUUACUCGUUCCUAACGCAAAGUCCUGGUCAAAUAAACCCAUCUUCAUUAA
Lepisosteus oculatus (spotted gar) is the source of this 303-nucleotide non-coding RNA. NCBI's taxonomy places the organism in Eukaryota, Metazoa, Chordata, Actinopteri, Semionotiformes, Lepisosteidae. The record is from RefSeq and is a predicted model, not a curated record.